Molecule: transfer RNA, 73 nt
Filed under: uncultured Actinomycetes bacterium
Lineage: Bacteria; Bacillati; Actinomycetota; Actinomycetes
Description: uncultured actinobacterium tRNA-Arg
Rfam family: tRNA
About the family: Transfer RNA (tRNA) molecules are approximately 80 nucleotides in length.
Source: RNAcentral
GCCCCCGUAGCUCAGGGGAUAGAGCGUUGCCCUCCGAAGGCAUGCGCACAGGUUCGAAUCCUGUCGGGGGCAC